UAAGGAAUAUUGGACAAUGGAGGCAACUCUGAUCCAGCCAUGCCGCGUGAAGGAUGAAGGUCCUAUGGAUUGUAAACUUCUUUUGAACGGGAGAAAACCCUGGGUCGUGUACCCAGGCUGAUAGUACCGUUAGAAUAAGGGUCGGCUAACUUCGUGCCAGCAGCCGCGGUAAUACGAAGGACCCGAGCGUUAUCCGGAUUCAUUGGGUUUAAAGGGUGCGUAGGCGGAACGAUAAGUCAGUGGUGAAAGCCUGCGGCUUAACUGCAGAACUGCCAUUGAUACUGUCGAUCUUGAGUACAUUUGAUGUGGGCGGAAUGUGCCAUGUAGUGGUGAAAUACUUAGAUAUGGCACAGAACACCGAUCGCGAAGGCAGCUCACAAAACUGUAACUGACGCUGAGGCACGAAAGCGUGGGGAUCAAACAG
RNAcentral lists this ribosomal RNA (424 nucleotides) under uncultured bacterium. Its description in RNAcentral is "bacterial SSU rRNA". It matches the Rfam family "Bacterial small subunit ribosomal RNA", at positions 355 to 775 of the family's 1533-position model. The record is from RNAcentral.